Non-coding RNA from Delphinapterus leucas (beluga whale), 2260 nucleotides. The record is from RefSeq and is a predicted model, not a curated record. Lineage: Eukaryota; Metazoa; Chordata; Mammalia; Artiodactyla; Monodontidae.
UGCCGCGGACCAGGCCGCCCAGUCGGGAGGAGAAGGACGCCUUGGCGGCCGCGGGCCCGCUAGCCGACUGGUUCUGCAAGAAGAGUCCCGGCAGCGCCGUCAGCGUCUUCUCCACAAUGUCGCUCAUCGCCGCCGCCGCCACCCGCGCUCCGCUCGCCGCCCGGCCUCAUGCCCAGGCCCUGCCCCGCCGCCUCCCCGGCCACCGUAGGCACUUCCUGUUUGUCUGAAAAAGAAAUCUUUAUUCGCGUUCUGCGCGGACAAGCACAGUGUCGUUCUAGAGAGACGCCGCGUGAGGGCGCGAGAGUCGGCAAGCGAAAGACAGCGCGCCAAGCCUGUGUGGACGUGGUCCUUCUGUGGAGGAGCAGAAGGGCCGGACGCUCCCGGUUUCGACGGCAACCCCUGCGUCCCGAGCUUCUCUGGGUCCUCCUGAGAUUCUUUCAUUGAUUCACAAGAGGGAGAUUAGAAGACCUGCUUUCUCAAUCUCCCACAUCUAAAGAUGCUGAAAAAUAUGAUAUUGACAUCAAUAUCAGAGGAUUCUGACUCAGGCCUAACAUGCUUAUCAUCCGGCACAAAGAGGUCACUUAGAUUGAUGGAAUCAAUGCAUGCAUGGGCUUGAUCUGACCUUAUUCACCACUCCUACUGUCCUGUAAAUAUUUGGGGUGGCCUGGAAAAGGGGCCAUAAGGACUUGGAUCAUGAACAACCAACAGUGGUAGCUAAUGUGGUCUGAAGAACAGAGAGCCCAUCUCAGAAUAUUAUGGAAUGUGUAGGACCCUGGGAUGGUAUAGAAACCCCUAAUAAAUUGUCUUCCCCCUAAAGUAAACAUGACAAAUCCUGAAUUUCUCAUCUCCCUUGACCUAGGUGGCUCAGAGCCAAAUUUAACUUCAUUUAGAACAAAAUAGGGGCAUGGAUUUUUCUCUAUCUUGUUCACUGCUUUAUCCCUAGCACCUAGAACAGUGCCAAUACACUUUGUUGAAUGAAUGGAUUCUUGCUUCGAGUGCCAAGGACCAAACUCCCACCUGCCACAUUGUGUAAAGCUCCUGGUUUUGUGCUGUCACAUAUUAGGUGUCAGUGUCAGGCACUCAUUUUUGCCAAAUGCCAUAUAAUACAUCUUUGUAUCUAAUGUGUCAGAUGAGCCUAGAAUACCUGUUUAUUUAUUAAAUUGUUUUAGCACCUUUAGCACUGUCUGUUAUGCACAGUCAACUAAGUACUUCACCUGCCAGUUUUCCUCACUCCCUUCCUAAGUCCUAAUCCCACUUUUCUGAUGGAGCCCCUAUCAUAAAUCCAGAGUUUCUUUGGCCCUGUAUGUGAAACCAAUUCUGUUUCAGAGACCACAGCCUUAGGGCUCUAGAUCCUUCUCCAUCUAUAUGCAACUUUUCCGCCCUUCAUAGUAUAGUUCUGUUCCUUGGUUGUGCCCACAUUUAACAUAGUACCUGCCUUCUCUCCCAUCCUAGAUACAAUCCCAAAGUUAGAAAUUCCCUUACCAACACCACCAGGUAUCCACACGAGAGAUGCUCUUUGAUCUCUGGGCCAGAAAGUGAUGCUUCUACUGUCACCCUUCAGGGCAAUUUAUUUAGGGAAGAGUUGUAGAAAGGGCAAGUCCAUCUAAAAGCAACCUUCUUUCUUGGCACUGAGGACUGAAGGGUAUUGUUUUAAAGCCUUCUGUAACGCUCCAUGUACCUCUGUGUUUCUCAGCUUCUGCCAUCUAUAGAGAAUACACCUGUUCUCAGAGGACUGAAAAACCACAUGGUCUCCACCCUGUUGUUGGGAUAUAGUCGCAAUCGUGGCUAGAAUUUUAUUAGUCUGAGUUUGACCUUUUUCUGUGUGUAUUCACUAGCUUAGCGAUUUAACUACUCUGAAACUCUAUUAGUACCAAGCUCAGUAAGCUCCUAAUUUGUACACUGGAGGCUCCUUGCAAGCAAGAACUGUGCCUUUUGGUUCUGUAUCCCCAGCACUUAGUACCCCGCCUGGUAUGUAGUACUGUUCAGUGAAAUCCCUCCUAGGGAUAGAUUCUGUCAAGAACUGUAAAGAGUCUAAGUUUUACCCUACUUGCAAGUUAACAAGUUAGCCUGUCAUAGUUUCAUGGAUGCUGGUAAAAGACAUGAGACUCCUGUGUCAGAGUCAAAAAUGGUUUAUUACUCAUAGCAAUAGUAGUAGCUAGAGUAUCUGCCUUUUUAAAGUCAGUUCCCCAAGACCUAGUUUCCAUAGGGCAAUGGGAAUAGGGCCAGUUAACACCUGUACAUGAAGAACUCUGAGCUUAGG